UGCCGCUGACUCAUCAUUUCCUCUCUAGGUCUUUCCGGUAUGUCUGGAAUCUUCUGAAAUCUUCUUCACGAGUAUGGUUAGUACUAUAUGAUCAUGAAGAUUUCAUGUUUGGAAGAUGUUGGAUUUACUGCCAGUGGCGUUUUGGAUGUCUUUUUUAGAUUUGAGGCUAGGAAAGACUUUGAGUUAGUCAAUGUUCUCUUGCUGCUUCAAAGAUGAAUAAGGGGGCUUGAUCUCUUUGAGGAUCAUUAGUUCAAGCAGUGACAUGUAAUUGCUUGACAACGAGAGAGAGCACGCUAGUCAGCAUUCAUGCGAGGAACAUGACUGUGUACAGGCGUGCUCUCUGUCGCUGUCAUACAAUCUUCUCAUCAAGGCUGUCUUACAUAUUCACCUUGUUCGUGAGCGUUGGACCUCAAGGCAUACCCACUAGCAGGAUUUGAUCACUUACCAAACAAGACACGGGUUGCAUCCUUGAGGAAAUCUCCAAGUAAGCCAUGCAUAUAUGCACUUCCCAUAUCCACAUGCAUUCAAAAAGGAAGCAGAAUAUUCAAUGAGGGAGAGGCUGCCACAGAAGAUCCCCACUUCCCAUAAGAAGAUAUCUACAGGCUGGUUGUACUAAGGGGAAUUUUGGGGAUCCUCACGCAGCCAUAGAAGGAGUGGGCUGCCAUAUAAAUAAGAAUAUAAGAACAGGGAAAGGAGGACUCUCGAGAGCAUGCAUAGAUUUUGGAGAGCAGCAGGGGACUUCGGACAGCAAAUUCGGUUGCCACUUUGACGCACCAAGAGAGGAUUUUCUGAAAAACACGCGCAACAGAUUUCUGGGCUGCUACAACACAACACACAUCAUUGAGGCUUCUCCGACAGGCAUGCAUUAUCAGUUUUGAAAAGAAAAAUGGAGGAAAGGAAAAGGAAAAAAGAAUCUGAUUAUUUAUGAGUGGUUUUUCAUGGUUUGGAACCUGGGAGGAAAUGAAUCAUAUAUCCUUUCAUACAUGAGGCCGUGUUUUCAGAUUUCAUGCUUGGAAGAUGUUGGGUUUGCUCCCAGUGGCAUUUUUGGUGAGUGAAUGUCCUAGGUCCACAUUUUUAAUGAGAGUGAUGGACAAACUUGCAGUUUAAUAUCUUUGUUGCUUUUAUACCAAUAUUUGGGUUGUGUAUUUGUUUAAAAAUCCAGAAAUGUAGAAAAUUUUAUUGAAGCCUCUGGCAUGUUUUGGUUGUUUUAA
Vitis riparia (riverbank grape) is the source of this 1211-nucleotide long non-coding RNA. RefSeq lists it as uncharacterized. NCBI's taxonomy places the organism in Eukaryota, Viridiplantae, Streptophyta, Magnoliopsida, Vitales, Vitaceae. The record is from RefSeq and is a predicted model, not a curated record. The transcript is spliced from 7 exons.